AGGAUUAUAGUUAAAAAUAACAUUUAAUUUGCAAUUAAAAAGUACUUAAUUAGUUAAUCUUU
This 62-nucleotide transfer RNA is filed under the name Japanagallia sp. Its description in RNAcentral is "tRNA-Ala". The record is from RNAcentral. Lineage: Eukaryota; Metazoa; Arthropoda; Insecta; Hemiptera; Cicadellidae.